AGUGAACGCUGGCGGCGUGCUUAACACAUGCAAGUCGAACGAGAACGGAUUAUAGCUUGCUAUAAUUGUCAGCUAAGUGGCGCACGGGUGAGUAAUGUAUAGGUAAUAUGCCUCUUACUAAGGGAUAACAAAUGGAAACGUUUGCUAAUACCUUAUACUCCUUAUUAACAUAAGUUAAUAAGGGAAAGAUUUAUUGGUAAGAGAUUAGCCUGUAUUGUAUCAGUUAGUUGGUGGGGCAAUGGCUUACCAAGACUAUGACACAUAACUGGUUUGAGAGGAUGAACAGUCACACUGGAACUGAGACACGGUCCAGACUCCUACGGGAGACAGCAGUGGGGAAUAUUGCACAAUGGACGAAAGUCUGAUGCAGCAACGCCGCGUGGAGGAUGACACAUUUCGGUGCGUAAACUCCUUUUAUAUGAGAAGAUAAUGACGGUAUUAUAUGAAUAAGCACCGGCUAACUCCGUGCCAGCCGCCGCCGUAA
Molecule: ribosomal RNA, 484 nt
Filed under: uncultured bacterium
Lineage: Bacteria
Description: partial 16S ribosomal RNA
Rfam family: Bacterial small subunit ribosomal RNA
Source: RNAcentral